GGGUUUCGAGUAAACCCUAGUGCACCGCCCCACCCUCGCUCCUCUCUCAUGCGUCACUUUGCCGAUAAUGGCAAAAAUACAGGCGUACGUCGCCUUUUCCAGCUUUGUCAUAGUCAAUUGGGGUAAGCAUUUAAUGCUAACCCCCUCUCUCCACUGAGUUUUCAACCAAACGAGGAGGUCUAGAGUCUUCCAAGUCCAAUCUCGAUUCAAGGCUUCACACAAGAAAGGUAAUCUUCUUUCCCUUUUAUUUUUGUAGCAUUUAUUUGUUUUAAAUUACUUUGUUGUUGAUUAUGUGCUUGGCCUGAUGUUAAUUAUGUGAUUAGUAUGCGUUUGUUAGUUCAUUUUCUAUUUUAGUUUAAGUAUAUAAUGUAGUUGUUUGAUUCAUCUGUUAAGUAGUUUAUUGUUCAUAUAGGUUAAGUAGUAUGUGAAUGGGGCUGAUGGUAUUAAAGUAUUUGGUUUUGUUUAGGUAUUAUGUGUUCAUUUGGGUAAACUUGGUCAUGUUUAAAGAGUAUUUUAGUUUAGUUCUUGUAUAGUACCCGCUUUUAAAACUAAUUUAGGCAGAUUCAGUAUAUAAAUGGACAGAUUAUUUGAUAUCAUGCCUGUUUUAGUUCUUUUUUUUUUUUGGCCAAAUACAUAGACAGCCCCCUAAACUUGUCGUUAUUUUCCAUUUAGACACCUAAACUAAGGUUGUUUCCUAUCAAACACUCAAACUAGCAUCAAAGUGUGUCUAUUAGACACUAAGAACUCAGUUCCAAGAAAAAAAAAUCACAGCGUGAAGCUCAAAUACUGCUUACGUGGCAGAGUAACCAAUUAAAAAAAUCCACAUCAAUUAAAAUAAAUCCACCUUAAAUUUAAUAAUCCCCACAACUAGACCCACUAACUCCCCUUUCCUCGACUUUUCUUUUCCCCUCAUAUUGUACUUUCCAUUUCCUCUUCUCUAGAUACCAGUUCUUUGAGGAAGGAGAAUAGGGUGGCUUUACUCCUUUUUUUUUUUUGUGCUCCGUAAGUCAAGGAUUUCAGAUACAUAAUGGAUUUGACAUCUACUCGUAACAUAAUAUAUACUCAGAUUAAUUCGAUUUGAAAAGUUUAUACUAAUUUAUAUCAUUAACUAAUGGCUUCUUUUCUUUCGAAACCUUAUUUUUUGUAUAAUCAUGUCCAUGUUGUUUGACAAGGGUAGCAGAAUGGAAAAUCAAAAUUUGUUUAUUUAGUUCUUUCAAAAGAGUAGAAAAAUUUCAGUCCUUGUUGUCUAGUGAGCGUAUUGAAAGAAUGAAAAAGUCCAUUGAUUUUAUUUUUAAGAGAAAUUUUCAAAUUCAUGGAUUUGGGUCUAUCAAGUUAGGAACAGACAAAAGUAAAUACCAAAUAAGAUAAGACAAACAGGGAAAAAAAUUCGCUCCGUAUUCUUUGGAUAAAACAAAUUGGCUUGAUGGAAAGGUAGUAACUUGCUGGAGAAAAAAAAAAAAAAAAAGGGCACAAAAUGGAGAGGAAUGAAUUUGGCAAAAGUAAUUUUUUUGUUUAAAAAGAUGAAGUUAGGGACGACAUAAACAAUAAAAGAAAAGUUAGGUCCACAGAUCCAUAUAGCUUACGUGCUCAAAUGGUGGGUGAGUAACACAACACAUGCCAUGUCAGCAUUUUGUGUCCAAUAGACACACUUUGAUGGUAGUUUGAGUGUUUAUUAGGAAACCACUUCAGUUUAGGUGUCUAAAUGGAAAAUUAUGACAAGUUUAGGGGGCUGUCUAUGUAUUUGGCCUUCUUUUUUUAUGUUGAAGUUGUGUCCUGCUGUCAUUUGCUUGAAUCUGUCUUUGUUGUCUUAAGAACCUAAUGUCAGCUACUUUAAGCUAUGUUUAUCUGAGUAUUGUACCUAUUAAGAUCUACUUGUGUUAUUAAAGGACUUUGUGAACUAUGUUGUAUGCCUGAUAACCAUGUUUAUACAUGUGAACCUUCUGUGAUAACCUGCCUAUAUUCAAUAUCACUCAGAUCCUGUCACUAAUGUGUUGCAUAAAGCUCUAGAGGUCUAAAUAUGUUGCCCUAAUGCAGUCAAUUAAAAAUGCUUCUAUGGAUUAGUUUGUUUGAGUCCUUGUUUGUUGCUUUCCUGUGAGUAAGAGGGUCUAAAAGCAUGUUAUUACUCUGUAUUGUUUGGCUUUGGUCUUAGUUGGUUGAACCUGUGAUCUCCUUAAGUUCAAAAACUCUGGCUUGAACCCCUAUAUUAUCCUCUGCUUGCUAUGGACAUGUAGUAUGUUAAACAUAAUUUUAAAAGGUCUAUCUAUACUUGUCUUGCCUUGUUUUGACCAUGAAGUAUGUUAGUUGGGACAUGAGUAGCUAAAUGAUCCUAUUUGAUUAAAUGUAUGUCUGUCAUUUAAACUAUUUUCCUGAGUUAAAUGUUGCAUGAAAGUUGUUUGUGAAUCUGAAAAUAUGCCAAUGCCCCUUUAGCUCUGAUUAGCACUGUGUUGUGAUACAUGUCUACUUAUCGCUUAAAACACUUAUGAAAAGCAUACCUGCCCUAGUUAUCUGUGAUCAUAUAAGAUUAUCCCAAAAAAUGAACUACUUGAUGUUGCUUGUUUAUCCUGUUUGCACCUCUGCCCUUUUCAUGACUGAUCCAGUUAUGUCUAAAGACCCUUAUUGCAAUUAGAUUCCUGAGAUCUUGCAUCUGUACUUCUGUUUAUUGUCUGUCUGAGCCUUCCUACUUGAUGUGAGCUAAAUUAAGGAUUUGCAUCUUGCAUAGUUGAACUAUAAGAGGCUGUCACUUGAGGUUGAGUGACUCUGGGUGUGACUUACCUAGGGUCAAGAGGAGGGGUGAGGAAGCUUUGAGUUUCUAGUCAAACUCAGCCUAGUCUUCCUUGUUCUAGACUGCUGGGGUUCCCCCAUAUGGAUUCACACCUCAUGGGACCCUCUAAGUAGUGAAACAAGUAGGAUAUUUGUAAAGAAAACCAUGAAUGAUGCAUAUCUAAAGCAUGUAGCACCUCACUGUUUUUUAUGCAUCUCUUCUAUACACUCUGCCUAUCAUAUCUGAUUACUUCUUUGCUUUUUCCCUCUGAAAUGUGAGUUUAAUACACUCUGAUUGAAGGACUAGUGUAUGAAGUAAAACCAAGCAUGUCUUAUUUGAGUUGAAAAUUGAUCUUUCAAAAUGCAUAAGGUAUACCCAAGUAUAUUUAAAGUAUACAGCUCUUGUAUACUUUUGGUAGAUAAGGACCUGUAUAUUGAAGUAUAUGUGGGGUAUACCAUUGUUGAUGUAUUGAAAAUGGUCCUAGAAUUUCAUUGGAUGUAUGGUGGUAUGAUAAGUCUUUCUUGCUGAAUUGGCAUAAUGAUCUGUGCAAGUAUAAAAUGUAUAUACUGAAGGUAUAUCCCAAACAUAUUAAGUAUACUCGAAGGUCCUGUAUGCCCUUUAGUGUAUGUGGGCUGGUAUACUUGAUGUAUACAAGGUGUAUUUGGUAUUAUAAUAUGCCCAUGUGUUUAAAGAAUAUGGAUUUUUGUUGAAUGUCUUUGCUUGCCUUACUUAGGCCUUAGUGUGUUUACCUUUGUUGCUUUCCCUUUUUGUGAACUAGUAUUUGGGCUUUUUGCUUCUUUUUCUUCUCUUUGUCUCCAGCACGUUUUAAAUUAGUUGGACCAUCUGUGUCUAGGCCCAAUCCCCGUGAAGUAUUGACUUAAUAAGCUGAAUAUGUGAUUGCAUAUAUGUAUAUAGAUGAUUAUGCUUGGUUUUCUUGUUAUGGCUUAGCAUAUAAACUUUGAACAUCUCCUAAUUAUAUCUUCUUUAUGCCUUAUAUGACUGCAUACUGGGCCAUUUGGGGCGUCUUCUACGCAUUUGAAACCUGCUGGGCCUGAGGCCCAACCUACCUUCUUCUAUCGAGUCCGAUUGAAAAGGAAAGCAAAUAUUGCUACUUUGAAGGCCCAGUCAUGGGUGAAAAUGGCACUGAUGGGCUUGGGUGGUCCCAUCAGUUAAAGAUUUACUUUCUUCUCUUCUCUACUCCAUAUAUACCUGGCAUGUAUAUAUAUUGUAUAUGUACUGAAUGUGUAAAUAAUGAAACCCUUAUGCAUGUGUAGAACUUAGGAAACAACACUUAGUAUUUUAGGAAGUCACCUAAAUCUUUCGAAACUCAGCUAAUAUCACAUUUGCACGAAAUUGACACUUAAUCCAAUUCUUUAAAUAAGUUUUCCAAAAUUGGUUCGAUAUUGAACGGGGUUAAUUGGUUUAAAAAACAAAUGACUAAGUGGAAAAUGAUUUGGGCCCUCAGUCCCCUUUUGUAGAAUUUAGCAAUGAAACGGUGGCUGCUUAAACUGUUUUGGGCCUUAAGCCCAACUGCUGAAAUCGUAUUGUUUAUUGAACCACCUAAAAAAUGGAAUUUGAGGCAAAAAAUGAAGAAAUACUUAAAGACUAUUUUUUAACAAAAUUAUCUUAAUGAAAACACUUCAAACAAUUUUGUACUCAUUCUGGAAAUAUGAAAGUUUGAAGACUCAGGAUUGUUUGAAGCAAAAACAGAUUCUUUUGAAACUGGACUUAAAUGAUUUUUUGAACUGUUGGGCUGAGAAGCCCAAAACACUAUGGACCAAAAACAAAGGGAGAUCCAAUUGGACUGAAUUGAGAUAAGAUGGCUUUGGGUAUGAAUAUAAGUUGACUUAUUGAGCUUCAAUGAAUCAAAAUGGGCUUAAUAAAACUUUCAAUUAUAUAUAUAUAUAUAUAUAUACUCCGUAUUUUUUUUAUAUAUGUGUAAUAAAAACCCAUAAGAACUAAAUCCAUUUUAUUAGGACUAGCAUAGUAGUGACUCUACUCGGGAGAAAUUCUGGGUGUAUCCUAGUCCCAAGAAUAAAGUGAAUUGAACACUUAUGCGGAUUUUUUAGACCCAAAACCCCCUUUUCUAAGGGGACUUUUUGCCUAAUUGUUUCUUGAAAUUAUGAUAUGAAUAAAAAUGACACUUUGUAGAAACUUAAGCAAUUCUUAAGCAAAUAAUUACAAAAUCACACAUUGAAGCUCGUAGGUCAACCGUAUUCUACAGAUUUUUAAUACUAGGGUGCGUAAAACCUUCCCUAGGGGAUCACCAGAACCCUUACCUUGAACUUUGGUAUCAAAAGAUUUCUCUCUUGCUUGAAAAAUCUUUUAUCCAGUUUUUCUAGUUUUCCUUUAAUAAAUUAGGUGGCGACUCUAAAAAUACUAAAUCCAAUGAGAGCACCAACAACCUCGAAGUAGCUUUUAUGCACCCGCAUAAAAGUGAACCGUAACAGUGGGUCAUCUCGUUCAGAAUUUAGUCCCAACUUUCCAUAGCAUUGAAUACACUUUACUUUGAAGCUUUUGAGGAGAAUAUUCCAUAUUUUUUUGUCCUCUUCCAUUCAUUGUAAGCUUUCAGUAUUUUUUUUAAUGCUUUGUUUUGAACUUUUAGCCAUGAGUAUCUAAUUUUAAAUACUAAGGUUGUCGACACAAUGAUGGGCGCUAUGUUAAUGGGUGUUUAUCAUUGAAUAUAUAUGAAUUAUGGGU
Molecule: long non-coding RNA, 5461 nt
Organism: Lycium ferocissimum
Lineage: Eukaryota; Viridiplantae; Streptophyta; Magnoliopsida; Solanales; Solanaceae
Exons: 2
Source: RefSeq, a predicted model, not a curated record